UACGAAGGGGGCUGGCGUUGUUCGGAAUUACUGGGCGUAAAGCGCGUGUAGGCGGGCCGUUAAGUCGGGGGUGAAAGCCCAGAGCUCAACUCUGGAAUUGCCUUCGAUACUGGCGGCCUGGAGCAUGAUAGAGGCGAGUGGAAUUGCGAGUGUAGAGGUGAAAUUCGUAGAUAUUCGCAGGAACACCAGUGGCGAAGGCGACUCGCUGGAUCAUUGCUGACGCUGAGACGCGAAAGCGUGGGGAGUAAACAGG
This 253-nucleotide ribosomal RNA is filed under the name uncultured bacterium. RNAcentral describes it as "partial 16S ribosomal RNA". It matches the Rfam family "Bacterial small subunit ribosomal RNA", at positions 524 to 776 of the family's 1533-position model. The record is from RNAcentral.